RNAcentral lists this transfer RNA (75 nucleotides) under Thermoplasmata archaeon. Its description in RNAcentral is "tRNA-Glu". It matches the Rfam family "tRNA". From Rfam's summary of the family: Transfer RNA (tRNA) molecules are approximately 80 nucleotides in length. Their secondary structure includes four short double-helical elements and three loops (D, anti-codon, and T loops). Further hydrogen bonds mediate the characteristic L-shaped molecular structure. tRNAs have two regions of fundamental functional importance: the anti-codon, which is responsible for specific mRNA codon recognition, and the 3' end, to which the tRNAs corresponding amino acid is attached (by aminoacyl-tRNA synthetases). tRNAs cope with the degeneracy of the genetic code in two manners: having more than one tRNA (with a specific anti-codon) for a particular amino acid; and 'wobble' base-pairing, i.e. permitting non-standard base-pairing at the 3rd anti-codon position. The record is from RNAcentral. Lineage: Archaea; Methanobacteriati; Thermoplasmatota; Thermoplasmata. RNAcentral also lists the same sequence under 1 other name.
GCUCCCGUAGUGUAGUCCGGCCAAUCAUCCGAGCCUCUCGAGCUCGGGACUCGGGUCCAAAUCCCGACGGGAGCA